This 429-nucleotide ribosomal RNA is filed under the name Acidobacteriota bacterium. RNAcentral's name for it is "Acidobacteria bacterium partial 16S ribosomal RNA". It matches the Rfam family "Bacterial small subunit ribosomal RNA", at positions 355 to 776 of the family's 1533-position model. The record is from RNAcentral. Lineage: Bacteria; Pseudomonadati; Acidobacteriota.
UGGGGAAUUUUGGACAAUGGGGGAAACCCUGAUCCAGCCAUCCCGCGUGUGCGAUGAAGGCCUUCGGGUUGUAAAGCACUUUUGGCAGGAAAGAAACGUCAUGGGUUAAUACCCCGUGAAACUGACGGUACCUGCAGAAUAAGCACCGGCUAACUACGUGCCAGCAGCCGCGGUAAUACGUAGGGUGCAAGCGUUAAUCGGAAUUACUGGGCGUAAAGCGUGCGCAGGCGGUUCGGAAAGAAAGAUGUGAAAUCCCAGAGCUCAACUUUGGAACUGCAAUUUGAACUAACGGGCUAGAGUGUGGCAGAGGGAGGUGAAAUUCCGCGUGUAGCAGAGAAAUGCGGAGAUAUGCGGAGGAACACAGAGGGCGAAGGCAGCCUCAGGGGAUAACACAGACGCUCAUGGACGAAAGCGUGGGGAGCAAACAGG